This 226-nucleotide non-coding RNA is filed under the name Brassica napus (rape). RNAcentral's name for it is "Eukaryotic large subunit ribosomal RNA". It matches the Rfam family "Eukaryotic large subunit ribosomal RNA", at positions 2413 to 2588 of the family's 3401-position model. Lineage: Eukaryota; Viridiplantae; Streptophyta; Magnoliopsida; Brassicales; Brassicaceae. The record is from Rfam by way of RNAcentral.
CUGUUGAGCUUGACUCUAGUUCGACUUUGUGAAAUGACUUGAGAGGUGUAGAAUAAGUGGGAGCUCCGGCGCAAGUGAAAUACCACUACUUUUUGUUGUAAAAGAGUUGGGAAAUCGUGUGUUUUAUUUCUGAAUAAUAAGUUCCCUUUAUAUAGGGGUUACAAGGAAGAGAUAAAUGGAAAGAGUACAAAACCUAAUCCAAGAGGAAAGAGGAAAACUACUAAAG